Molecule: ribosomal RNA, 500 nt
Filed under: uncultured bacterium
Lineage: Bacteria
Description: partial 16S ribosomal RNA
Rfam family: Bacterial small subunit ribosomal RNA
Source: RNAcentral
AUUGAACGCUGGCGGCAGGCCUAACACAUGCAAGUCGAGCGGAUGACGGGAGCUUGCUCCUUGAUUCAGCGGCGGACGGGUGAGUAAUGCCUAGGAAUCUGCCUGGUAGUGGGGGACAACGUUUCGAAAGGAACGCUAAUACCGCAUACGUCCUACGGGAGAAAGCAGGGGACCUUCGGGCCUUGCGCUAUCAGAUGAGCCUAGGGCGGAUUAGCUAGUUGGUGGGGUAAUGGCUCACCAAGGCGACGAUCCGUAACUGGUCUGAGAGGAUGAUCAGUCACACUGGAACUGAGAAACGGUCCAGACUCCUGCGGGCGGCAGCAGUGGGGAAUAUUGGACUAUGGGCGAAAGCCUGAUCCAGCCAUGCCGCGUGUGUGAAGAAGGUCUUCGGAUUGUAAAGCACUUUAAGUUGGGAGGAAGGGCAGUAAGUCAAUACCUUGCUGUUUUGACGUUACCGACAGAAUAAGCACCGGCUAACUCUGUGCCAGCCGCCGCCGUAA